RNAcentral lists this transfer RNA (72 nucleotides) under Blattella germanica (German cockroach). Its description in RNAcentral is "tRNA-Pro (TGG) (tRNA-Pro-TGG-26-1)". It matches the Rfam family "tRNA". Rfam says of the family: Transfer RNA (tRNA) molecules are approximately 80 nucleotides in length. Their secondary structure includes four short double-helical elements and three loops (D, anti-codon, and T loops). The record is from RNAcentral. Lineage: Eukaryota; Metazoa; Arthropoda; Insecta; Blattodea; Blattellidae.
GGCUCAGUGGUCUAGGGGUAUGAUUCCUGCUUUGGGUGCAGGAGGUCACAGGUUCAAAUCCCGCCUGAGCCC